GAUGAACGCUGGCGGCGUGCCUAAUACAUGCAAGUCGAGCGAACGGACGAGGAGCUUGCUUCUCUGAUGUUAGCGGCGGACGGGUGAGUAACACGUGGAUAACCUACCUAUAAGACUGGGAUAACUUCGGGAAACCGGAGCUAAUACCGGAUGAUAUUUUGAACCGCAUGGUUCAAAAGUGAAAGACGGUCUUGCUGUCACUUAUAGAUGGAUCCGCGCUGCAUUAGCUAGUUGGUAAGGUAACGGCUUACCAAGGCAACGAUGCAUAGCCGACCUGAGAGGGUGAUCGGCCACACUGGAACUGAGACACGGUCCAGACUCCUACGGGAGGCAGCAGUAGGGAAUCUUCCGCAAUGGGCGAAAGCCUGACGGAGCAACGCCGCGUGAGUGAUGAGGGUCUUCGGAUCGUAAAACUCUGUUAUUAGGGAAGAACAUAUGUGUAAGUAACUGUGCACAUCUUGACGGUACCUAAUCAGAAAGCCACGGCUAACUACGUG
RNAcentral lists this ribosomal RNA (497 nucleotides) under uncultured bacterium. RNAcentral's name for it is "partial 16S ribosomal RNA". It matches the Rfam family "Bacterial small subunit ribosomal RNA", at positions 28 to 507 of the family's 1533-position model. The record is from RNAcentral.